ACCGGGGAAAUCAUAACGCUCAUAAUGUCUUAAAAUUUUUGUCCAUCGAAAGCUGAACUGUGGAUUUGUACGAAUUAGAGAUCAUCAGCACUUACAUCAUACACGGAGGUGUUGACAUCACACCAGGACAAUACACUUCAGCUGUACAAGGAGGUGUUGACAUCACACCAGGACAAUACACUUCAACUGUACAAGAUUCUUCUGACUUCAUCAACGUAACCACUCAUCCAGUCCCUAAGCUGGAAAAUGGUGUUUCUUCUUCCCUCCGAAUCAAAGAAGUCCAAAUUUUGUGCCUCAUCAUGUCUCUCAUUUGCCUGUAUUGUAAUUUCAGUAACGUAAUCAAGUGAUUUUAAACAGGUGAUGGUGUGUGUGUGUGUGUGUGUUUAACCUCUCCUAGUACAUACUGCUGAU
Hemibagrus wyckioides is the source of this 411-nucleotide long non-coding RNA. RefSeq lists it as uncharacterized. Lineage: Eukaryota; Metazoa; Chordata; Actinopteri; Siluriformes; Bagridae. The transcript is spliced from 4 exons. The record is from RefSeq and is a predicted model, not a curated record.